AACGUAGGAGACAAACGUUAUCCGGAGUUACUGGGCGUAAAGGGCGUGCAGGUGGUCUGUUAAGUCUGGCGUGAAAGCUCUCGGCUAAACCGGGAGAGGUCGUUGGAUACUGGCGGACUAGAGGACGGUAGAGGCGUGUGGAAUUCCGGGUGUAGUGGUGAAAUGCGUAGAGAUCCGGAGGAACACCGGUGGCGAAGGCGGGUCUCUGGGCCGAUACUGACGCUGAGGAGCGAAAGCGUGGGGAGCAAACAGG
Molecule: ribosomal RNA, 253 nt
Filed under: uncultured bacterium
Lineage: Bacteria
Description: partial 16S ribosomal RNA
Rfam family: Bacterial small subunit ribosomal RNA
Source: RNAcentral